This 496-nucleotide ribosomal RNA is filed under the name uncultured bacterium. RNAcentral describes it as "partial 16S ribosomal RNA". It matches the Rfam family "Bacterial small subunit ribosomal RNA", at positions 30 to 523 of the family's 1533-position model. The record is from RNAcentral.
AUUGAACGCUGGCGGCAGGCUUAACACAUGCAAGUCGAACGAUGAUUAUCUAGCUUGCUAGAUAUGAUUAGUGGCGGACGGGUGAGUAACAUUUAGAAAUCUGCCUAGUAGUGGGGGAUAGCUCGGGGAAAAUCGAACUAAUACCGCAUACGAUCUACGGGGAAAAGGGGGCGCAAGCUCUUGCUAUUAGAUGAGCCUAAAUCGGAUUAGCUAGUUGGUGGGGUAAAGGCCCACCAAGGCGACGAUCUGUAACUGGUCUGAGAGGAUGAUCAGUCACACCGGAACUGAGACACGGUCCGGACUCCUACGGGAGGCAGCAGUGGGGAAUAUUGGACAAUGGGGGCAACCCUGAUCCAGCCAUGCCGCGUGUGUGAAGAAGGCCUUUUGGUUGUAAAGCACUUUAAGCAGGGAGGAGAGGCUAAUGGUUAAUACCCAUUAGAUUAGACGUUACCUGCAGAAUAAGCACCGGCUAACUCUGUGCCAGCCGCCGCAGUAA